RNAcentral lists this ribosomal RNA (495 nucleotides) under uncultured bacterium. Its description in RNAcentral is "partial 16S ribosomal RNA". It matches the Rfam family "Bacterial small subunit ribosomal RNA", at positions 28 to 507 of the family's 1533-position model. The record is from RNAcentral.
GACGAACGCUGGCGGCGUGCCUAAUACAUGCAAGUCGAACGCUGAAGGAGGAGCUUGCUUCUCUGGAUGAGUUGCGAACGGGUGAGUAACGCGUAGGUAACCUGCCUGGUACCGGGGGAUAACUAUUGGAAACGAUAGCUAAUACCGCAUAAUAGUAGAUGCUGCAUGACAUUUGCUUAAAAGGUGCAAUUGCAUCACUACCAGACGGACCUGCGUUGUAUUAGCUUGUUGGUGGGGUAACGGCUCAGCUAGGCGACGAUACAGAUCCGACCGGAGAUGGGGAGCAGCCGCACUGGGAGUGAGACACGGCCCAUUGGGCUACGGGAGGCAGCAGGAGUGCAUCGUCGGCAAGGGGCGGAGGUCUGACCGAGAAACGCCGCGUGAGUGAGGAGGGGUGUCGGGUCGUAGAGCUCGGUUGUCAGGGAAGAACGAGUGUGAGAGUGGAAAGUUCACACUGUGACGGUAUCUUACCAGAAAGGAACGGCUAACUACGUG